This 495-nucleotide ribosomal RNA is filed under the name uncultured bacterium. RNAcentral describes it as "partial 16S ribosomal RNA". It matches the Rfam family "Bacterial small subunit ribosomal RNA", at positions 28 to 507 of the family's 1533-position model. The record is from RNAcentral.
GACGAACGCUGGCGGCGUGCCUAAUACAUGCAAGUCGAACGCUGAAGGACGACCUUGCUUCUCUGGAUGAGUGGCGAACGGGUGAGUAACGCGUAGGUAACCUGCCUGUUAGCGGGGGAUAACUUUUGGAAACUAUAGCUAAUACCGCAUAAGAGCACAUGUUGCAUGGCAUUUGCUUAAAAGUUGCAGUGGCAUCACUACCAGAUGCAGCUGCGUUGUAUUAUCUAGUGGGUGAGGUAACGGCUCACCAAGGCGGCGAUACAUAGCCGACCUGAGAGGGUGAGCGGCCACCCUGGGACUGAGACACGGCCCAGACUCCUAGGGGAGGCAGCAGUAGGGAAUCUUCGGCAAGGGACGGAAGUCUGACCGAGCAACGCCGCGUGAGGGAAGAAGGAUGUCGGAUCGGAAAGCUCGGUUGUAAGAGAAGAACGAGUGUGAGAGUGGAAAGUUCACACUGUGACGGUAUCUGACCAGAAAGGGACGGCUAACUACGUG